CCGGCACGGGUGAGUAACACGUAUCCAACCUGCCGUCUACUCUUGGCCAGCCUUCUGAAAGGAAGAUUAAUCCAGGAUGGCAUCAUGAGUUCACAUGUCCGCAUGAUUAAAGGUAUUUUCCGGUAGACGAUGGGGAUGCGUUCCAUUAGAUAGUAGGCGGGGUAACGGCCUACCUAGUCAACGAUGGAUAGGGGUUCUGAGAGGAAGGUCCCCCACAUUGGAACUGAGACACGGUCCAA
Molecule: ribosomal RNA, 239 nt
Filed under: uncultured bacterium
Lineage: Bacteria
Description: partial 16S ribosomal RNA
Rfam family: Bacterial small subunit ribosomal RNA
Source: RNAcentral